Molecule: transfer RNA, 74 nt
Organism: Nitrosococcus oceani ATCC 19707
Lineage: Bacteria; Pseudomonadati; Pseudomonadota; Gammaproteobacteria; Chromatiales; Chromatiaceae
Rfam family: tRNA
About the family: Transfer RNA (tRNA) molecules are approximately 80 nucleotides in length. Their secondary structure includes four short double-helical elements and three loops (D, anti-codon, and T loops). Further hydrogen bonds mediate the characteristic L-shaped molecular structure. tRNAs have two regions of fundamental functional importance: the anti-codon, which is responsible for specific mRNA codon recognition, and the 3' end, to which the tRNAs corresponding amino acid is attached (by aminoacyl-tRNA synthetases). tRNAs cope with the degeneracy of the genetic code in two manners: having more than one tRNA (with a specific anti-codon) for a particular amino acid; and 'wobble' base-pairing, i.e. permitting non-standard base-pairing at the 3rd anti-codon position.
Source: Rfam
GGGUCUGUAGCUCAGUUGGUUAGAGCGCACCCCUGAUAAGGGUGAGGUCGGUGGUUCAAAUCCACCCAGACCCA